This 520-nucleotide ribosomal RNA is filed under the name uncultured Glomus. Its description in RNAcentral is "SSU rRNA". It matches the Rfam family "Eukaryotic small subunit ribosomal RNA", at positions 569 to 1084 of the family's 1831-position model. Lineage: Eukaryota; Fungi; Glomeromycota; Glomeromycetes; Glomerales; Glomeraceae. The record is from RNAcentral.
AGCAGCCGCGGUAAUUCCAGCUCCAAUAGCGUAUAUUAAAGUUGUUGCAGUUAAAAAGCUCGUAGUUGAAUUUCGGGGUUAGUAGGUCGGUCAUGCCACUGGUAUGUACUGGUCUCACUGAUUCCUCCUUCCUGAUGAACCGUAAUGCCAUUAAUUUGGUGUUGCGGGGAGACUGGACUGUUACUUUGAAAAAAUUGAGUGUUUAAAGCAGGCUAACGCUUGAAUACAUUAGCAUGGAAUAAUGAAAUAGGACGUUCGAUCCUAUUUUGUUGGUUUCUAGGAUUGACGUAAUGAUUAAUAGGGAUAGUUGGGGGCAUUAGUAUUCAAUUGUCAGAGGUGAAAUUCUUAGGAUUUAUUGAAGACUAACUACUGCGAAAGCAUUUGCCAAGGNUGUUUCAUUAAUCAAGAACGAAGUUAGGGAUACGAAGACGAUCAGAUACCGUCGUAGUACUUAACCAUAAGCUAUCGACCAACGUAGGGAUCGGAUGGAUUAGUUAAUUUUUAAUGUACUCAGUUCGGC